Molecule: ribosomal RNA, 483 nt
Filed under: uncultured bacterium
Lineage: Bacteria
Description: bacterial SSU rRNA
Rfam family: Bacterial small subunit ribosomal RNA
Source: RNAcentral
CUACGGAACUCCUACGGGAGGCAGCAGUGGGGAAUUUUGGACAAUGGGCGCAAGCCUGAUCCAGCCAUGCCGCGUGCGGGAAGAAGGCCUUCGGGUUGUAAACCGCUUUUGUCAGGGAAGAAACGCUCUGGGCUAAUACCUCGGGGUAAUGACGGUACCUGGAGAAUAAGCACCGGCUAACUACCUGCCAGCAGCCGCGGUAAUACGUAGGGUGCAAGCGUUAAUCGGAAUUACUGGGCGUAAAGCGUGCGCAGGCGGUUAUGCAAGACAGAUGUGAAAUCCCCGGGCUUAACCUGGGAACUGCAUUUGUGACUGCAUGGCUAGAGUGCGGCAGAGGGGGAUGGAAUUCCGCGUGUAGCAGUGAAAUGCGUAGAUAUGUGGAGGAAUACCGAUGGCGAAGGCAGCCCCCUGGGAUAACACUGACGCUCAUGCACGAAAGCGUGGGGAGCAAACAGGAUUAGAUACCCUGGUAGUCCUCUUCGA